Molecule: ribosomal RNA, 468 nt
Filed under: uncultured bacterium
Lineage: Bacteria
Description: partial 16S ribosomal RNA
Rfam family: Bacterial small subunit ribosomal RNA
Source: RNAcentral
GACGAACGCUGGCGGCGGGCUUAACACAUGCAAGUCGAACGGAAAGGCCCUGCUUUUGUGGGGUGCUCGAGUGGCGAACGGGUGAGUAACACGUGAGUAACCUGCCCUUGACUUUGGGAUAACUUCAGGAAACUGGGGCUAAUACCGGAUAGGAGCUCCUGCUGCAUGGUGGGGGUUGGAAAGUUUCGGCGGUUGGGGAUGGGCUCGCGGCUUAUGAGCUUGUUGGUGGGGUAGUGGCUUACCAAGGCUGUGACGGGUAGCCGGCCUGAGAGGGUGAACGGGCACCAUGGGCCUGAGAUACGGACCAGAGUGGUACGGGAGGCAGCAGUGGGGAGUAUGGCACAGUGGGCGGAAGCGUGAUGCAGCAACGCCGCGUGCGGGAUGACGGCCUUCGGGGUGUAAAAAGCUUUCGCCUGUGACGAAGCGUGAGUGACGGUAACGGGUAAAGAAGCACCGGCUAACUACGUG